CAGCCUGCAUCGGUAGAGGCGAUUCUCUGGCUUUUUUCGCACCUCAAAGAAGCCAAGCUCUCAAAAAAUGUGAAUCAAUGGGAUUAUUUACGCGUGUAUAACUGGAACCCACUCCAAGAGACCGAUUUUGCUGCAGAAAAAGAUACUCUUGCUCCCCACCCCCUCCUUUCUUUUUGACAGUCAGUUAAUAAAGACUCAACAAUAAGCAGCUGCCAGUGAUGUCAUUUGGGACUUUGUCCACGGAGCUUGUAUUUACAAGCUCGGAGCAACUACAGAGCCGCAGCCCAGGGAGCAAGUCUCCGCAAACUCGCCCGUGAUUCGCGGCAGGACCUCGCUGAUGCCGUGGAUAUUCAGGAAAACCGAGGAGUCUCUUAGCCGCGGUCUUUGAAUGCUUGAAACGUAAACAGAGCAUAACCGCGGGAGGAGAUUUUUAGCAGCAGAGAGGGGUUGAGUCGUUGCAGUUCCUCUGUCUGUCUCCAGGACUGUGUGAUUUGUGUUCACUGAGGAGCUAACUACAAGUAAGACUGUUGGGAUUUUUUUUUUUUUAACUCUUGUAACAGUUUUUUCUUGUUUAUACAGCUUGCUUUCCUUUUAAAGUGAGAUGAUGAUGUUUACGCUUUUCUGCAGGCUCUCUCUCUCGGCAGCCACAAGUAUGCAUUUCUCCCAAGUAAUUAUAGUGCGCUAAAGUUGACUGGGGUUAGGUGGAGAGGACAUAUAGACUCAGGGCAGGCACCACGAUGCAGAUGGAUGAAUUGCUAAUCUUCAUUUGCCUCUGCAGUGAGGUGGAGUUUGGUGGGUUUUUUUUUUUUUUUGGUUGUUGGUUGUUGUUUUUGCUUUUUGUGUUGUAAAGUACCAACUGACCAAACAAAAAAACUGUUAGGUUGACCUAUGCAGUUUAACUGAAUGCUAUAAAGACUAAUUUUAAUUAACUGGUUGCUAGAGAGGAAAAUUCCCCUUUUCCUCUGAUUUUUUUUUUUUAAUGUGUGUGUGGCUUAUAGAUUUCUAAUGUGUGCUUGUUGACGUUCAUAGUCUUGUUCUUCUAGGACGAUACGGGAGAGGAACCUGAGAGGGGAAAAGAAAGAAAGAGGGGGGACGAGAGGAGGAGAAAGUUUGAGUAAGUAAGAGUCCACGAUCAUACGUAAUUUUUUACAAAGCUUUAAGUUUGGGGAAGAUAUACCUAAAGGGGGUGUUGGUGGUGGGUGAAACUCAUAGACUACACGGAAGACUCAAUCGUUAACCUCAAUUACAUGGUGACUUUUUCAGUUGAAACUGUGAGUCGAACAACCACCCGUUCUAGAUAUAGGAAAGAAAGUGAAAGGGGUUCCCGAGAUUUUGAGAGAUUCAUAAGAGAUCCUAAAUUUGUCCUUCGUCCGAGGGACGUGGUCGUCAGACCUGUCCCUGAGGCAGAAAAAAACGACGUGACCGAGAGGAGGACACCGCACUUCAAGAAGUAUCCUCAGAACAUUUGAACAGAAAGACACCCAGGAACCUCGACGGACCCUAAAGGAGGAGUCGCGGACGUCAAGUCGGUGAACGUCGAUCAUCGUUUAGUGGUGACUAAGGACGGGAGAUCUGGACUGUCGGGCGACCGUUCUUCACCGACAAUCGGACAAUCGAGGACGUGCGCUUUGGGUACUGAGUAAGGUCCUCCGACUGAACGAGGACUUAGGUCGACGAGACAGUAGUCGAGUCCUCGUGGAACUGUCGGGACUGACGGAAAGGGAAUCUUCGGUCACAUCCUUCCAUGAUUUUAUAAGUUGAGAAAAGAUACCUCAGGAACACCACAGUCGAGGGUUAAAAAGGUAGUCUCGUGUACGACGAACCCACACAAAAUAUAUAAUCUCGAAUGACGAUAGACGUCUAAAAAACAUGUUUUAUUCCCUAAACGACAAUUGUAUCAAACGUUUGAUAAUCACCUUCAAAUAGUAAAAUGUUUUCUUUUUAACCCAGUACUCCACCCCACCACUAAACAGUCUCUGUGGGUCAUUUCUCCCAUGGUCUCGAGGGUGAUCUUUGACACAGAAGGUACGGGUGAGGUCGUACGUAAGACGAGAAGUUCAAGAAUGUCUAAUUUUUCUCUAUCCUAGGUGUAUCCAAAGCAUACGAAGAACGUCCUCGUCUCAACGCACGUCCACAUGUCUACUUCCACCAGACCGUUUCUGACUUACAAGGACAAAACAGAAACCGAGACCAAUGUAAAGAAAUGCAGAGACAAGGAGUAACAACAAAAGUGAUCGUUUACUUUCCCUUGGGACACUAAUAAAAUGUCAACCGGAUCUCCGCUCGUUCCAUUAUCGACUUAAUCAUGUCUUCCAUAAAACCUAACUCACGCCCAACCCAUCGAUUCCACUAAGGGUUGAGACUAUUACAACAAAGACGAAAUGAAGGUUCAGAGUUUGAAAAACAUGUGAUAUCGAACGAACAAAAGGAGGUGAAUACCUGAGGGAAAGGUUACCUUCGAAAAAGAAGUAAAAAAAGGAACUACCGGGGAGGGUGAAAGGUCGUAAGGUGUCCGGGGUGAGUCCGGGACGUAAGGAGAAGAGAGACCUGGGAAGGAACGGGGGUGUGAGGGUGGAACCCCACGGAGACACCUGAGAUGUCUAGGUUCACUAGAACGUGAACAUGAACAAACCGAGGAGUACCAUAGAACACGAUCGAAAACGGUUACCCUGGACCUUGAGAACCCGGCGUAUUUAUAGAGGAAGGUAACUUUCGUUUCCGAUACAACACUUUGAAGGAAACAGGUGUUUCUUCAACAAAUCACGUACUACGAUUUAUAUACUUUCUUACUUAGUUUGUACGUAAAAGGGUGUAGUUUUGGAGUCCGAAGGUGUGAACCCAACUGUUUUAAUAGACAAUUGACACGAAUCACCGAAAUUUAAAAAGAAGUGAGACCACUUCCGGAUACUACCCAGAAUUCUGAGCACAAAAUACUGGGCUAUACUUGAUGGGAUGCCUGCCACUCUACCCUGCUUCAUUUCUUUGUGCUCCCUGCAUAUACUAAUAUCUGUGCUGGAGUUUUGCUUGCAUCAGAAUCUUCUGUCCGGGAGGAACUGUGGCAUAUUGAUUAAGGACUUGACUCUGGAAUGGCAUUGCUGGGGUUUAAUCCCGAUUUCCUCCACUUGCUGGCUCUAUGAUCCCACAGUUAAUCCACUAAAUUUUUUUGUUGUUGUUGUUUCACUUUCUCUUCUUUCAAAUUUGGAUAGUAACAGUUCCUGCUUUGUGGAAGGGUCGGGAGGUUGAAAUAUAUCCACAUAGCUAAGACACGUAACACAAUGCUAGGCAUACAUUUCUAUGACUAAGUAUUAGCUAUCAUUGACACUAUUUACCUUGCUGACGCCUGCCUCCCUUCCCAGACUUAAUGAAUCAACAUCUCCAAGGUGGAAUUCAGAUGCGUUUAUAGUUAAAAGUUCUUCCGAUGAUUCAGAGAGGACUACUGGCUUAUUAGCAGCUGGGACUUGCUUUCUGUAAGCCGAAUAUUCUCUUCAGCACCUCUCCACUUUUAUACUCUUGUAUCACUACUGUGGUCCCUCUCUAUAUACCAAGUUUGUCCUCCCAGCUCGUGCUUACCCUUCCCCUCCUAUGGGCAGUUUUCCAUGCCCUACGUGCCAUGGACAGAUGUCCUUAUGCACCAUGGAAGUAUGUGUUCAUUGGUCCCCUCUUCAGCCUCUGAGUGUCAUGAGGAUUCACCUGCCUGACACCCACCUUGAGAGCUACUAUCUUUAGUGAAUUACUUGCAGAGUAGAUGAAAAAAUACUGCUCACCAAGUUUCUUCAUUCCCAUUUGACUCUAGGUCCUGUGGCUGCCCCCUUUCCUGUGAUGUCACAUCUAAGCCUUUCCCCACUCUCAAGUCAUCUUUACUGCUACUCCUCUCUAGGUAGCAUCUGCCUUCCCCACUUCCAGAGCAGACUGUGGUCUUACACAACACCACCCUCUUUUUAAUCCCCCUUCUCUUGGAUGAAGGAGAGAACACACCCAUCAGAUUCUGACCGAAUUCUGUUGGAUUGCCUAAACUGUAUGACCCCACUUAAAAAUGAUAUCUUUGCAUUCUGCCUCUGUCACAAGAUUGUAGGGGUGUUGAGUUGCCAAAUUGGUAAUCUUAUGCAUAGCCCUGCACCUGGCACAGAGGUUGUGGGCCCAAUAAAUGAGGAGGAAAAGGAAGGACUGUGUUGUUGAUGGGUACUCUAAGAGCAGAUUUGAAUUAUUUUCUACUUAUAUUAAUAUGGAGUGAUUCCUGUAUACCAGGCUUAUUUCUAAGCUCUUUGCACAUGCUCUGUCAUUAUAGUCAUCAUAUUUAUUACCCAAGCAAGGAUAACUGAGGAUCAGAGAGGUUAAGUAAUGUGCACAAGAGGUGGUAAGAGGUACGGCAGUGUUUGCACAUACGGCGUAUACCCUGAACUUCCACCAUGCUACUUUCUGGAGAUGCAGGGCUGACCCUAGCAUGAGCCUCACCCACACUGGAGCUGUGGACACUCACAUGGGCCUCUGGAUUGCUUGUACUGGCAGAGUGGUAAAUCAGAUUAACAGUUCUGAGUGCCAGCCAGUUGAACUGGUGAUUCACAUGUUCUCCUCUUCAGAAGUAUCUAAAGCCCAGGCCCAGCCCUUUUUCCCCCCCUCUUUAAAUCUCAGUUAUGAAUCUCCUUGAAGAUUCACCUAAGUUUAUAGUUGAACAUCAAAAUUAUUUGCAUUCUUGGUAUGGGUGUUGGCAGGCUUGGUCAAGAGUAAAAUUGAGGGAUUAGAUAAAAAGACACAAUUGGAAAUAAUGGUUGGCCAUUUGGUUGGUCCCUAGAAAAGUUUCUCCAAAGAUGUGGUAGUAUUUUGUGAAAGAGGAUUUAAAUGGCCAGAAUGGUUUAGGCUACACACUGGGCAAAGUCACUGGACCGCUUAAGCAUAAGAUCCUUACAGCCUCAUUUCUCUCCAGUUCUUUAAUUCUACAAGGUUUAAUGCCUCUGGAAUUUUGGAUUCCCAAUUGUGCCUCCUUUACAAAUGAAAUAAUAAAUCUCUUGGAUACAUAGAACAUUACCCACAACGUUUACAGUGCCCCAAUAAAUACUUGUCUAAUGAAGUGUAUCAUGUCGUUUUGGAAGCCCCAAUUACACAAGGUACUUCCCAGUAGUUACAUAAAUUAAUCUUGGUAUUUUCAGGGCAAGAAACCAGAUCUCUCCUCUUGGAAAGAGUAGAUUAAUGAUUUCUUUGAGUAGAAUUCGGAUGCACUGUAGGAACCCAGUGAACCGAGGUCAAGAGGAAAGUCCCGAACCCAUUUUGGAGCAUAAGCUUGGAUAAUAACAUGGCAGAUAAAUAUUACGGUGUUGAAAGAAGAUCUGUUAUUUCUGAAAUGUGGGAACAAGUGUUACUGUUGAGAUGCAUGUCUAACAAACUGCCCCACAAAGGGUACAUGCUUCAUUUGGCAAAUUGAAUCUGGAAACACAGAACUGAGCCAGGCCAGCCCAGAAGAUAUGACCCUAAAGCUUCCAUUGUCAAUGAUAAACUGGCUUUUAAAAAACACAAAAAAUCAAAGUAAUACAUGCUUACAAUUUAGAAAACCCAGCAAUACUAAAAUGUUUAUUUAUUUAUAUUCAUAUUUGUGAAUAUUACUGAUAAUGCUGAAGUGCUUAUAUACAUAAACAUUGCAAAUUUUUAUGUUUCAUAGCUCUUGAGCCACCCCUCCUUAUCCCAAAUUUCAUUUCUGUUUUUCAAAGAUUGUCUGCUCUUUUAGCUACUUUUUAAUGUAAUAUUUCCAAAUAAGAUGUUUCUUUAUCUGUGUAAAAUAUCAAAUUAUUUAUUAUGUGUUUCCCAUUAUGGUAGAUUAAAUGUUUCCUACAUCUUCCUUAUUCUUCAAUAUAUCACAUUUUUGAUUAAAUGGAUAUUUAUUGCCUAUUUUUUGUCAUGAUUAUAAAUACAGACAUGCCUUGGUAUCUACUGGGGAUUGAUUUUAGGGCUCAUUAUGGUAUUAAAAUUCAUGGGUGCUUAAGUUUCUUAUAUAAAAUGGCAUAGUAUUCACAUUUAACCUCCCAUAUGUUUUAAAUAAUUUCUAGAUUACUUGUAAUACCUGUUAAAAUAUAAUUACUAUAUGAAUAGCCCUUAUGCUGUGUUUUUCACAGAAUAAUGACAAGAAAAAUAUCUAAGUAUGUUUGAUAUGCACCUGAAUAUUUUUUCCUCCCAUAUUAUCCAUCUGCUGUUGGCUGAAUCUACUCAUAUGGAACAGACACAGGGAGAAGGCCAACUGUGUUGUUUACUGUUGAGUCAAAUAACUUACUAUGAUCACAUUUCCUUUCUAUUAAAAUAUUUCCCUAAAGUUAUUAAUUGUCUUUCUUCAAAAAUUCACUUAGUUUUUAAAGAUUUUAAUGAACUUUUCUCACUGGCUUCAAUAGUCCUUUGACAUAUGUGUCAAAAGUAAUCUCCCCUUAAGAUAUUUUUCUUAUGUUAAUAGUUAAAUUCUCAAGUUAUCCUAUACUGUUUUUUUUUUAUGUCAGUUGUCAAGGGGGAGAAGUUAAUUAUUAAUUAUGCUAUAUCAAAAGUAAUUUAAAAUGCCUAUCUCCAAUGUGUCCUUUAUUUUAAUUAUAGUCAGUUACUCAUAUUUGGGUAAAUAGAAAAGAUCUGGUUUAUUAUAUUUGGUAAAUAAUAUUCAUAAUUUAGUUUAUGGUCCCAUGAAUACCCAAUAUUCUUUAAGAAUUUCUUUCUUCCUGUAUAUCUUUAACAUCUAGAAUAGCUUCCUCUGAGGAAAGCAAAUGAUAUUUCAUGUAAUUUUAUUCUGUGAGUAGUUUUAAAAAAAUGGCCUCCUCACAUGACAUUUAUUUCUUCCCUUUUCUCAUUCUCCUCUCACUGGUGUUUCAGCCCUGACUUGUACAAUUAGGAAUGUGAGAUACAUUGUCAUUGGAAGUAGUUAAAACAUUUACAUAAAAGAAUGGGAAAGACUUCACCUUUAGGGACAGUGUUUUUCAGAUUGCCAGUAGAGGGCCUUGUUAAACUGAGUAAAAGUUCACGUAUCAACCAAUAGCCAACAGCCACAGACACCUUAUUAAAGAAGGCAUUGUUUUAGAAUUUCUGAUUAAUAGCAGUAAAACUACCAAAAUAAUUUUUAAAGUACAAUGCAUUUCUUUCUAUAUGGAGGAAUUAGACAUCUUAGCUUUCAUUUUUAUUGUUUUCUUAGUAGGAAAUUGGAAAAUUCAGAAAGAUCAUUAAUAACCCAUCAAUCAAAUCAAGACUUUGGAUGCCUAGUCAUAAAAUCUAUACACAACAUUUUUUUUUUUGAAGUUAGAAUGCUGUUCUCUGAGCUUACUAGCUGGAACCUCAGGUUGGCUGUGGAAUAUGGAGAAGAGACAAUGGCUUUUCUAUCCCGGGUACAGUUUAGACUUGCUUCCUACAUUUGAGUGAACCCACUAUAAAAUAAAAGCAUUUCCUCUUCCCUGCAGCUGAUGUAAAAUAUGAUUUAAAAUCAUGACAUUCUGUAGUAUGCCCUCCAUUCAGAUGCAGGGAAAGAAUCUGCACUGAGGGCGCUGGGAUCAUUUCCAGUUCUCUGUCCUGCUCGUUUUCCAGUGGAAGAAACCAGGGGAGAGGAGAGCUGAUAUUUCUAAAGUCAUCCAGCAGGUUAGUGCAGUGCAAUCUUCUUCCUGCUCACUGACCUUUCGGCUCCUCUUCUACAAGACUCUCCUUUUUAAGGAGGCUCUCUUCUCCCCACUCCAUCCUCCUGGGGGCAACUUCUUCUCAGCCUAACUGGCUCCCUCAGGUAGGCUUUUUCUGCUUAUUAUGUGCCCUGUGAACCUCAUGUCCUUGUUUUCCACUGCACUUAUCUCUACAGUGGGAUGAAUAAUAAUGUCUAUCUCAGAGGGCUAUUAGAAGGGUUAGAUGAAACAAUAUACAUUGAAAACACUUACGUGUUUUCAAACAUAUGGUCAACUUUGAUUAAGAACAUUUCCUCAACAAGGCUAGCUAUUCCAUGAAGGCAGAACCUGCAUCUGUCUUGUUUAACAUGGUAGACUUGGCACUUAGAACAGUGGCUGGCACACCGUAGGUACCCAAAAACUAUUUGACAAAAGGAUGAAUGUAAGCAAGCGUUCUGAUUCUUUGCUUACUGGUUUUUUUCUUCUCCAUUUCUACACUUAAGGAAGACAUUCAUUUUUAUAAGUCAGCUGAUGGUGUUCAAAUCUCAUGGCCUUCAGGAUGCCUAUGGACUCAGGGAAAUUUUUUAACUUUCUAUGAGCGAGUGAGUAUUUUUUUUAUUUCCGGUAGUUCAAGGAUCCAAUAUUUGUGGUAUUUAUCAAGUGGUAGCUCCGCAGGUUUAAAAAUAACAAGAGAAUGGAGAAGGAUUUCUUCUCUUGUUGACAAGGACAGGAGGAAUGGGAGCAGAAAAGUGUCCCCAGAUGAGCCACAUAUCCUUUCAUAUUUCCCAGGUUGGGCUGGUGAUUUUUCUGGAGACCAUCAUGAAAUUGUAUUCCUUAAAGGUGGUAUUAGAAAGACCGGGGUCUUUGGAAUCAGUUAACACAGAUAAAGUAAUGGAAAACAUAUCACUAUAGCUCCUACCCAAGAGGCAUUUGCCCUUGGGUAUCCCUGAGUUCCAGUCUCUGUCCUGACCUCUACUGACUUUGGGUGAGUUCUUUAACCUAAUUUUUCUUGAUCUUCUCAUCUGUAAAACAGAGGAGUAUCAACAGUGACUUCACCUAAGUCUUCAUAAAAUGUCUACCUCAUUGUACUUUCUAUGUAUAUUGUCUCACCUAACCCUUCUAACAGCCCUCUGAGAUAGACAUUAUUAUUCAUCCACUGUAUGGAUGAGAAAGCCAAGGUACCCAGAGAUUAAUUUGUUCCAGAUUACACAGUAAGAGUUUGAGACAGAUGUUUAGAUUGUAUUACCUUCUUAAAGGAUCAUUGUGAGAAUUAAAUGAGAUAAAGCCCAUGGCAUAACUGCAUAAAAAUAAGCUAAACACAUGGUGACCCUUAAGAUCAUCAUUGGCUCCUUAUCAUUGAGGACAUUAUGGCCCAUGUAAGCAGAUGAAUGCUGUAGGCAACUGAAGGAGAUGGCAGUGCUCUGUGUCUCAGGGACACAUUGCUUAAUCCUGAUGUCAAAUGUCAAGAGCUCUUUUUACUUGGUAUUUUGAUACAAACAUGUAUUUGCAACCCAAAACAACCAGUAAGGAAACUGUCCACCCUAAUCCCCUCCUGGCUGUCCUGAUCAUGUGAGAAUAGUUUUCUUGGCUCAAUGCUGCAUCUGCUGAUUGACACUCCUGGCUUUAUCAUCUCUGCUUCUUUAUUUGGUAAAACUGUCAAAUCCCUCAGAUUCCGGUUUGUAUACAGCUCCUUCUUUGAAGAACAGUGGGACCGGGUUAUGGGGUAGACAGGGUGUGAUGAGUGUUCAGCUCUUUCUGAUAUGUCCUCAUUUUGUUCCCUUGUUAUGUAUCCCUGACCCAUUUUCCCCAGCUGUCUCCUUCCUCUUUUCCAUCUUUCUUUCUCUUUUUAUUUUCUCUCUUCAUGCAUUCUCUUGUUUUUCUCUUUCCUAUUGCUCGGUUUUUCGUCUCUUUAAUCUUGUCCUCUGCCCAACUUGAAUCUCAUCUCUCCCUCAAUUAUCCCUUUUGCUCUUCUACACCCUCUUCCUAUUCAUUUUUUUCUCUCCUCCUUCUUCACCCCAGCAGAGCAGAGGAUGGUCAGUGUUUCUCAGUGGAGCAGGAGUCAGAGAAAAAGGGCCAACAUUCCAGUCUUUUCAGUGUUUCUAUAAUCAUCAAAUGCCCUAGGGCCUCAUUACAAUGCUGAUCCUGUUAAACAAAGAACACAUCCAAAUUCUAGGCCAAAGGGAAAGAGAGCCCCAAAGGAGCAGGCUGCAUGGUAGAGGAGGGUGUGAUCUAGAGAGAGAGAAUGGAGUGACCCCGCUUGUAAAAUCCUGCCCCAAGCCAGCUGUAGGACGUGGGAUCAAGUGGCCCCAUCUGCAAAGUGAGGGGGAGAUCAGAUGGUCCCAAGGCCAUUCCUGGCACAGUGAUCCUGUUAUUCCUAAUCACACAAUGAUUGCAGCCUGACUCACAACACAGGCAAUUAUCAAAGCAGCAAGAAGCAAAGCCAGGACAGUGGGCUCAGCACUGGUCUGUGUGCAUGGGCGUCCUGGGGACGCUGGCAGUAUCUUUGAUCCCUAGCAGUAUCCCGUUUUUCCAAAGUGCUGAAGUGAUUCGUCACUGCACAAUGCCGUGUGUCCUCACAACAGAUGUGAGAGGAUCACCCUUGAAAGGGUGUUUCUCCAAAGCAUCUAAUUAUAACCUCUACUGAAGAUUAACAGAUGUUAUAAUUGUCUUUACCCUUUGAUUAAAUAGUUUCUGCAUGAGUAGGUUUCUUAGAUUUUCCUUCUCUGUUUUGCAUGAUCUUUAUAAAGAACUGACAUGUGUCUUCAAUUUUAUGGAGAUAGCUCCUCAACAGGCUGGGUAAGAAUCUUUGCAGAUUCAUAAUUUCAUCCGAUCUCUUUCUUUCCCUUCUAUAUCUUUAUAUAUAUAUAGAGAAAACCUGGGGUGCAUAGACUGGACAUGGGUUUUGAUGGCAGAUGAGUGGCAGGAGUAUGAGUGUAGCUAGACGCUGGCCUCUCUUUCUGCAGUUUGUCUGCAGAAGUGCCUGAUAUACAUGAAUGUUCUCUAGGAAAAACUGUGCCAAGUGGAAAGGGAGAUUCAGCAGACCUUGCACAGCAGUCAAGCACAGCAGGUGACAAGUGAGCAAAUGAGUGUGUGAGCAGAGAGACAAACAGCAUCCGUGAUGUAAAUGUCUAAAGAUUGUUCUGCCAGUAUUUGUUCUGGAAAGAUAAGCGAUCAGCCAAAGGCUGAUAUCAACAUCUAAAACAUUAUUUUCGUUCCAUUAUUUAGAACUCAGAUCUCUUUCUUCUCCAUUAGCGAUGUGGUUUGUGUUGUAUGGCUCACUUAUUUCACCUUCUAUGAACCCAUCAGGAAGGAUGGUGCCAUUAACUUACAGGAAGAUAAAGCCUUCUGCCUCAUUGUGUCAUUGUCCAAAUGAGUAUGUUUCCUCCUUGAAAAGAGAAAAUUAUAAGGAAGGCUUUCAGGCAUUAGGCCAGCUUUUGGAAGAUGAAGACCAGAUCAUUUAGGGAGAUCUCCUUAAAAAAAGGGUCUCCAUCUCUCCAUACCAAAGCAAUCUGAAAAGGACUUGCAAAUCAAGGCAAAGAUCAGCCAUUGGUCAGCCUGAGGACAUAGAAGAAAUAUGCAAAAUCAAAUUUGUCUUCAGUGGAUACAUUAGAAUUAAACCUUUGGAAAAAUAAAAUGAAGGAAAUACCUGGUUUGGUUGAUCUAAUAGGCCCCAUACAAAUUCCAUCUCCUCUUUCAUCUGCAAUUGAUAAGGAAGAGGAAGGAAGGUACAUUUAUUCUUAGUAAUAAUCUACACUGAAUAUAUGUGCUACUAGUGAAUCAAAAGGCAAAAUUUCUAUCUAUGGGGUUCACAAUAUAUAGGGGGAAGGAGUUAGUCCCUCAUGAGACAUUUAAAGAAUAUUAGAAACUAAAUAGGAUUAGGUUCCAAAUGAAUGAUCAGAACAUUGAUAAAUUAAGAUGAUUUUAUAAGGGCUAGGAUCUUAUACAUUUCUAGAACCGAUAUCAUGAAAAAUAGCUAAAGAAAUUAGAUUUGGGUCAUUUGGAGGAAGAAGAUUUUAAAACUGUUUUGAAGUGUAAUAUAUAUACAGAUCAGUGAAUCUAAAUAUAUAGCUUGAUACAUUUUUACAAACUGUAUUUAUAUUACCAAUGCACAAACCAAGACAUAUCACCAGCACCCUAGGAACCCUCCUGCAAUUCCCUAUAGUGACCACCAUGCCCAUUUCUGAUGGAAAAGAUUAAUUUUGCCUGUUUGUAGGCAUUAUGGAAAUAGAACUACAUAGUAUGUAUGAUUUUGGGUUUGACCUCUUUUAUUCAAAUUAUGUCAGUGUGAUUCAUUAAUAUUACUAUGCUUAAUUGUAUAUUUUCCAUUGUUAUUGUUGUAUAAUUUUCCAUUGUGUGACUCUACCUCAGUAUCGUCUUUCUGCUAUUCAGGAGUAUUUUGCUAGUUUCUAGUUUGGGAUUCUUACAAAUAGUGCUGUGAUAAAUAUUCUAGAACAUGCCUCUUGUGUCACUUCAUAAACAAAUAAAACAUAUCCGCUGAGUGUGUGUGCAAUUGCCACAUUGUAGAGUAUCUAAGAGAUACUGCCAGUCUUUCAAGGUGAUCGUUCAAGUUUAUAGUUCUAUUCACCAUAUGCGAGAGUAACGGUGGUGUUUUAAUUGACUGACAAGAACAGGACUACUUCUUAAAGGUGGAUGUUAAAGAGAAGUAGCUGUGGCCUAAUAUUAGGCAUUGUUCCUUUAGAAAUUCACAGAAAGAAAAUGGGAUUUUAUGAAUUAGGUCCUUGUCCCUGGAAGUUCUCAGACAGUGAAAGAUGGCCUUCACCAAGAAGGGAGGUGAGGUAGGCAUAGGAUUCCAAGGCCUUUUCCACCACAGGCCUUGUAUAUCUAACAUAGUAAUCUCCAUGGAAACAAGAAUAUGGAAGAGGUCAUCCCAGUGGACCAGAAGACCAGAUUGUAGGAGUAAACAGGAGCGAUUGCAGGGAUAAUACUGACUCUGCGAGUGGGGCAGAGGCCAUUCCAGGAAGGGAGACAGACAGAUGCACAGGUCUGAAUAGGACAUGACAGAAUCGAGUGAUGAUAUAUUAGUAGAUGGAAGAGUGAAGAGCGGUUUGCAAACCACAGCAGAAUCCCUGCAGAAUAAGAAUGGAACACACAUUUAUACAGUUCACCAUACUGAAUGCUUAGGACCAGUCUGAGAACCACCAAGCAAAACAGAGGCAUUUGAUCAGCUCUGCCAGAGAUCGAGUGAUGUCCAUAAGAUGCCCUAGGUGAAAGUUGCUGCACCAAAUAAUGCUCAUCGGGGCAACAAGACAAAGCAACAUUUCUGCAAGGCUCCUUGCAGUUCGUUGGAGUUUUCUAAUACCUAAUGUGCAUGAAUCUCGUGUCCUUGGCAGCAUGGGAUACAUGUCCUGGGCUCUGACUUAGACUGUUUUCAUGCCAGCAUCACACCAUGUACAAACUUGAUCAUAUAGUAAAAGGACUCACAAAACUAAAGAUGGAUGGUUGGACUGAUAAGAAAAGGUUCUUGCUUUGAACAAAUAAUGUUCCUUCCUCUGCUUUCAUCUUUUUCUUAUCUCCUUUUUACCCCCACCCCCCCUCCACUUUGCAAUCUUUUGAAGCCUUGAACAAAGAAUUGCUCAUUUUCCUUGACCUAAGGAUCCAAACUGCAUAAAUAGAUAAGCUUGUGAAAUUAAUGAGAGGGAUCUUCAUGUUUCUUAGAGUAUUUUCAUCUGUUCAAAUGGCUUAAAACUGAUAUAUAUAUAUAUAUAUAUAUAUAUAUAUAUAUAAAACCCAGUGGCACUGUUAACAAGCACCUUCUAGGCACAUGGUGAUGGGGCCCCUCAAUCAACACACCCUAUCCUUUUCCCUUCCAAAGCUGCACUGAAGGGCUAUAUUCAGGACAGCAGUCAUGCCCUGUGUCAAAGCACGCAUCCGUGCUAUCUUGAAACUCUAUAACAUAGCCUGAAUCUGGUAAAUGGAGCACAGCUGAGCAGGUGACAGAUUUAUCAUACAGAGUUGAAGACUAUUCUAGGACAGAGCACAAAGGCAGUCAUUGUGGGAAAUAUGGUAAAUGGUUACUCCUGUAAAUACUUCUUUUAAACACUUUAUACUGUUCUGAAAAUACAUAAUCUCUUGAACAGUGAUGAAUCCACUGCCUCUGUCUCUUUCUCUUUGUCCUUUCAGCAUGUCUGUUUCUACUCAGACACUCUUCUAUAGGGACACUUUUCCACCUUUGGAUUUCUCCUGAGUGUAUUUGAUUCUGAAUAUCUGAGCUCAGCCAGGGAGACAUGGCUGAGGUGUGCUUCUGGGUGUGAGUGUAUAUGUGAGUGCGCACACACAGGGAUUGACGAGUGUGUGUGUGUGUGAGCACAUGUAAUUGUGUUUCAGGGUUUUGUCUCUGCCAUUUCAGUUAGACAAAACCAUAGCGUUAUUUCAUUCAUCCUCAGAUUUCCAACUUAAAUUGACUGAAGUUGUAAAGCACUAUAUCAAGCCAAAAUAAUUCCAGGACAUUAUAACAAGUAAUAUCAAUCUUUCCUACUAUAAUCAACAAUAUUUUCUUGAUGGAAAUUUUUUUUGUGCCAUUCUCUUCAAUUUCUUUGGGGAUAAUGCUUAAGCCAUUACAAGUUUUUUCAACAAUAAGUGUUUGAACCAUGAAUCCUACCUCUCCUGUUCCCUUUUCUAGGUUUUUCUUGUAAAGGUACAAAAUUCCCUUGUAUGUGACUUCAAAAUGUUUCUGGUACUGGGGAUUGAACUCAGGGGCACUCCACUGAUCCACAUCCCCAGCCUAUUUUGUAUUUUAUUUAGAGAAAGGGUCUCAUUGAGUUGCUUAGUGCCUCACUUUUGCUGAGGCUGGCUUUGAACUCCUGAUCCUCCUACCUCAGCCUCCCGAGCCACUUUGAAUCAAUAGAUAUGUAGUUAGUGAGAGCUCAUGAAAGUAUUAUAACAAGAGAUUCUUAGAGCUGGCCAUCUAGUAUGGAUGCUUGGUAUGGCAUGGUGGCCACUGAAGCAGAUUCUACCUGGAAGCUGCCCUGGUGAGAUAUUGGAGCCCAUUACGGGAAGCAGGGAUGCAAACCAUUCAGCCCUCAACCAUGAUUCUGAUGGAUGGAAACAAAAAUACUUAGCUUGAUUGCCACCAGAUCCUUUACUCUCUGCCUUGGUCUCUAUCUUAUUAAAUCUGUGCUGACCAUGGGCAGAAUGAAGUAGAGGACUGAGCAUGUUUUAACUUGCACUGGGUGCACCUCAGAAAUUUAGCAACCCAACUCGGAUAUUUCUGCAUCUCUUGGCCCACUAACUUCAAACGAUACUAGACAGGAGUCUUUGCCAUCAAUAACUUAAACAAAAGUUUAAUAAUCUAAAACAGAUAAUGAAGGAAAAUAGAUAAAGAAAAAGCUGGUUUUAGAAGUGAUUCUAAAAUCAAAUUCUCCCCUGCAGCUGCCUCUGAUACUUGGUUCUAUGCCUCUCUUUCCUUUUGGGUGUCAUCCCCAGGGUCAGAUAAGGACUUUUCUAAGCCCUCUUUUCAAAGAGAACCAAAUAAGUUCUGCCUUCCUGCAUAACCUUAGUCAGACUUUCCAACCUAUCCAGAAUUAUACUUAAGGUCAAGUUGUGAUCCACAGGGCACUGAAGUUUGUUGUGUGAAUUCUGGAAUGACCUUGAUCAGAUGUGACUUAUCAGUGAGUUAUUUGAUAGGCAGGGGAUACUUUAGGUGUGAUUUUGAUUCUGAAGGCUGAUCAUUACAUUUCUGGGAAGUUGUGGGCAUUCUUCUCUGCCUUUCUGAACUGAAAAUAUAAGCAAUCAUUGGGAUGGAACAGGAAGGAGACAGUGAUUUAGAUUAAUAGAAAUUUGAGUGUAUUCAAAAUGAGAGGCCACCUUUAGCUAUUUAUCCUGGAAAACGGUUCAUUCACUUAUGUGAAGAGGCAUGCACAAGAAUGCGCAUGCAGCAUCAUUUGUAAUAAUGAAAAGUUAUUUACUGUCCGAGUGUCCAUCAAUAGGGGAAGAGUCAAACAAAUAAUGCUCCAUCCACACUCAGGAGCCUUCAUGGUCAUUAAAAGGAUGAAGAAAAGCUAUUUGUAUCUUGACAUGGAAAGACUUCUCUGAUUUAUUAAGUGGGGAAAAAAAGGUGGUCAAAUAUAUACAUAGAAAUGGGUGCCACUUCUGUUUCAAAAACAUACGUAAAUAUAAACAUGUAUCUAUAUCUAGAAAGAUAAAUUGUUAAUGGUGGAUUUUUUUCUGAUUCAGAGAGUAUUAUUGGGAUUACAUGAAGAGGGAAGUUUGGCUGUUUUUCAUAUAAUUUUAACUAUUUAUUUUAAAAAAAUAUGCAUAGAUACUUCUAAAGAAGAUUUACAUUUUUGUGUGUGUAUACAUGUACAUUUUACUCAUAUAUAUUUUAAUAAGAGGGUAUAUUCUGAAGCAAUAUUUCAUGGAGAAAAGAGUUUAUACUUUCCAAAUAAGUCAUCUGAGGUAACCAAAGGUAAUAUAAAAGAUAAACAGAACCUCUGUUUUUCUCUGGGUGCACUGAAGUUUUCAGGCAUGAUGAUAUUUAAUUUAAGAUACAAAUAAAAGCAAUAAAUUUAAAAACAGGCAACUGUUUCUAAGGUGUGAAGCAGCAGAAGUUAUUUACAGAGAAUUCAUUGCUCAAAAUUUAACCAUUUCAGACAUGGUGAGCUCAUUUCAGAUAUCGAAUAAUGGGAUCACGGUGACCAGGUAAAUGAGCUGUGGUCCUGUCCUGAAGGAUAACUAAUCUAGUGGAAGGACAGACAAAUAAACACAGCUCAUUUAUUUAUAAGCAUAAGGCUGAAUGAAGUACUCAACAAUGGAACAAUUUGUGAGCAUGCAGAGUAAUAUUUCCUUAAAUAAUAUUGGCAGUGAUUUUUCUCAAGGCUCCAUGAGGAUAUAAAGAGUUUGAAGGAUCAUAAUGUGAUCAGCAUAUAUUGUAUAAAUUUUCAAAAACUUUUAUUGUGGCCACCUUUGAAUUGAUUUGUAGGUUAUUUUCUCUGUUUAUAUUACUCUCAUUUUUUGUUCUCAUUUUUAGAAUUUCCAGUUUUAGUUAAAUCCUCUUUUCGCUUUCCAUUUUAAAGAUAAUGUGAUUUUAAACUUACUAUAUUUUCUUUUUCAUUAGAAGUUGCAGCAAAGUAAAAAUGACUGCAAGAAAAAAAUUUAUGAACUUUCAAUUUGACUGAGUUUUUUUCAUGUUUUUUUUGGUUUCUACCUUUCUGCUUGGAUUAAAAUGGAUAAUAUCAUUAUUUGCUUAUUCUUUUUUUAAUACCUGUAUUACUUAAAAAUUUGUAACAUGCAUAUUUAUGCAUUCUAUGUUUACAUGUACAUACAAAUAAAAUACAAAAUAUAUAUAGCAGAUUAAAAUUUACUCAAUAUCUUUAUAUGCUUAAAAAAUAAAACUAAGACCUUAUUAUACUUAAUUUACCCUUUGAAUCCCAUUCUGAUCUUUGUUUUUUUGUGAGUUGCGAUUUUCAGUGGCCAAUGGGUAGAUUCACUCACAUCAUUUCUCCAUGCCUUUGCUCACCAAAGUCUCCAGGAUCGUACUUCUUCCCUCUCAUUUCUUGCUAGCAUAUAUCCUUCAGUAGUUUUUUAGUCAGUAUCUGGGGAAAACAAAGCUUUUGUUUUUAGUAAGACUAAAGAGUUCUUGGAUUAUAUUUUAGCUCAAUUUAGAAUUCUAAGUCACAGUUAAUUGCUCUCAACACUUUGAAGACAUUACUGCCUUAUGUUCUGGCAUUUACUUCUGCUGACUGAAAUGUGCUGGCAGUCUAACCGUCUAAUAGGUUUUCAUUUGCAUGUCAUUUCGGAAGCAUCUCUCAUGACUUUUAGGAUUUUCUCUGUAGCUUGAGGUUUUUAUAGUUUCAAAACUACAUGUAUUGAUAUGUAUAGUAUUUAUUUCUUUAUGUUGUAGUUUUAGUCAUACAGGUUCUUCAAUUCUGAAAAUUUCUUAGCCAUUUUCUUCUGAAGAUAUUUCUUCUAUGUUAUUCUAUUCUCUCUCUCUCUCUCUCUCUCUCUCUCUCUCUCUCUCUCUCUCUGAGUCUCCUAGAUGCAUUUUGGAAACUUCCAAUCAAUCCUCCUUUUAUCCAAUAUUUUUCUCUGUACCUUGCACUAGAUGAAUUCAUCGGUAUAACUUUGUAGUUCAUUAAUUCUCUCUUUGAUUGUCUUGUCUGGCUUUAAUCUUGUUUUUUGGCAUUUUAUUUCAGACUGAUUUUUCUGGAUUUAUAAUGGAUAUUCUUGUUCUUUUGUUGUUGUUGUUCUUUUUACCAUAGAGCUACAUCCCCAACUACAACCCCACGUCUUUUAUUUUGAAACAGGGUCUUGAUAGGUUGCCAAGGCUGCCCUCAAACUUGGGAUCCUGCUGCCUCAGCCUCCUGUGCUGCUAGGAUUACAGGGUUGUGCCACUGUGCCCCCUUUAUUUGCCUAUUUUUAUUUCACAAUUUCUCAUCAGUUUUGUAAGUGAUAUACUACUUUUUUGUUAUUUAUUUAUUGACAUUGAUUCUUUUUAAUUAUAAAUGACAGUAGAAUCUGUUUUGAUGUAAUUGUACAAGCACAGAAUUAUUCCAUGCUUAUGUUAUGUUUAUUCCACUUUUAUGUUUUGAUAUUUAUUCCCUCCUAAUAUUAACUUUUCUCAUUAUUUUUAUUUCACUGAUGAUGAUUUUUGGUUGUCUUCUUAGUAUUAGUUUUCAUAUGCUUUAAAAUUUCAAGUCAUCUUGAAUGGAAUUUGCCCCCAUCUCUAUGCACACUCCUCCUCAUCCAUGGGUUAUAUACAUGCUUUCAGGAAACUUGCCAGAUGCCCCAUCCAGAACCAGGUUUUGUGAGUGGCUUGGUGUAUCUCUCCUGUAAUAUAAAGUUGGGUAAGUCUCAGAUGGUGCAGAACUACCAAAUGCUUUGAUUCAAGUUCUUUAGACUACCUGUCCUUCUACCAUGCAGUUCAAUAUCUUGGAGUCUUAAGCCCCAGGAAGCAAUUAUUUCCAAGAUUGAGGGGCCCCUUUUCCAGACUGUGCAUUCAUGGAGUAGCUGGCUGGCCUCCAACACUCAUGCAAAGCUCUUGAUGCUAGAUACAUAUGAGGUGUCAAACUCUUCUGUUUUAACAUCUUUCUGGACACAGUGCUCAGCAGGCCCAGGAGAUCUGUUGUCCUCUUUCUUCUUUGAGCUUAGUGUCUGUUUCACAGAGAUGUUUUUCUUCUUUAUACAUUACAAAAAAUGUAUUUGAUACAAUUAUAUAUUUUACUGUUACUACUAGUGGAAAGUUCUUACUUUAAAUUUGGUGUAUCCACGGUUGAGCUUCAGAGUAGCCUUGAAUCCUUCAAAUUAUGUCCAAGAAUGCACAAAUUGUUAAAUGUUUGUACUUUUCCAAUGUGUUGGGUAUUAGACUUCCUCUUUUCCUCAAAGUUUGUAAUAGCCACUGACCUAACGUGACUCCUUCAGUUUGAAUACAUGUUCUAUUUCCCAGGAAAAGACAGUAAUCAGAAUUUAUUUUAUUUCUAUUCCAAGACAAAUGAUUACAUUUUAUACCUUCAACAACAUUGGCAUAAUUUUAAAAGGAAGUAGCAGAGUGGCAGCUUAGGAAAGGCUUGAAUACGGUCCCUGAAAAGUCAAAUUAAAAUUCAGUUCACAGUAUAAACUUUUAUUUCAGUCAAAGGAAAGGAAAUUCCUUUAAUGGAAUAAAAUGCAAAUAUUUAAUCAAGGCAACAAACAUGAAAUGAUGAGGGUGUUUAUUCAUGUUUUGGUUUCUUAACUACUGGGUUUUAUGAAGUUAGGGACUUAAGUUCAGUUUUCUUGUUGAUAAGUUGAAUGCAUUUUCAUCAAAUGUGGGCUGGUAAGAUAAUAUUAGUGUUGUGCAUUCAGUAAGUGCUCAAGGAGGCAUGGUAAAAGAUGAUGGUAGUGUACUAUAAUUUAGUCUAAGUUAUUUAAUUGAGUAGGCUAAGUGUCUAUCUUAACUUUAAUUCAAAAUACUACAUAUGAUCUUUAUACUUUUUCAUGACUUAAUAAAAAUCACAUUUAAAAAUAAAAGUGAAAAAUAUGUUACUUAGGAAUAAAAUUAAAAUUACUAUAUCAUUUAAAGCAAAUUGCAAAAAAGACUGACUGAGGCAAGUAUGGAUUGGUCUUUCAUCUUGAAGCUUAAAAAAGUUAUGAUACAAAUAAUCCUAAACUGUAAUUAGGAAAACAAUCUAAUGUAUAAUACAACAAAAUGAAAACAUCUAAGAAUGAAUAUAACAAGUGAAAUGCAAGAUUUGUAUACCCAAAACUAUAAAACAUUGUUAAAAGAAGACCUAACAAAAUGGAAAGACAGUCUGUUUACAUGAAUAGAAGAAUUAGCAUUGUUAAGAUGGCAGUACUCCCCAAACUGAUCUACAGACUCAAUGGAAUCCCUAUCAUAAUCUCACUUGGCUUUUUUGCAAAAAGUUCCAAGAAGUUAAAAUUAAUAUAGAAAUGCAAGUUAGCUACAAAAACUCCUUAAAAAUAAAGAAUUAACUCGGAGGAUUCAUACUCCAAAUUUCAAAACCUACCAAAAAUCUGUAUUAAUCAAGAUAGUGUGGUACUGACACAUAGAUCAAAGGAAUAAAAUUAAAAGUGCAAAAAUAAACCUAACACUAUGGUUGGUUGAUCUUUUUUACACGGACGGCAAGACAAUUUUGUGGGGAAAGAAUACUCCUUUCAAUAAAUAGCGCUAGGAUACUGUGGAUACCCACGUGAAAAGGGAUGAAUUUGGACUCCUCCCUCAUGCCAUAUAAUUUUGGCUCUUACAUUUAUAUGGCAUGAGGGAGGAGUCCAAAUUGGAAUCACAGUCUUAAAUGUAAGAGCCAAAAUUAUAAAAAUUCCAUAAUAGGAGUAAAUCUUUACUGCCUUGGAGCAGGAAAAAGUUUCUAAGAUAUAACAUCAAAACAUCAGCUACAAAAGAAAAAAACAUCGAUAACUUGCACUUCAGUAGGAUUUAAAAACAUUUGUACAUCAAAGGACACUAUCAAGAGAGUGAAAAGACAAUCCAUGGAAUGAGAGAAAAUAUUUUCAAAUAUUACAUCUGACCAGGAGCUUAUAUCUAGGAAGUAAAAAGAACACUUCUACUCCAACAAUGAAAAGAUACUCACUGAAUUAAAAAAAAUGGACAAAUGUCUGAAUAAAUGUUUCUCUCAAGAAAGAUACACACAUAGCCAAUAAGGACAUGCAAAGAGGCACAACAUUAUUAAUAAUUAGGGAAAUGGAAGUCAAAGCUACAAUGAGACAUCACUUUGUGUCCACUGGAGCAGUUAUAAUGAAAAGUUAUAGACAAUAAUAAAUGCUGACAAAGGUAUGCCAAAAUUGGACCUCUCGUAUGUGACUGUCAAAGAUGUAAAAUGAGGUACAUUCUCUAUGGAAAACAGUUUGGUGGUUCCAUUUGAGCCAAUAUUUUUUUCCUUAAGUAUGUACCCAACCCAAAUGAAAACAUAGGUUCAUACAGAAACUUAUAUAUGAUUGUUCAUAGCAAGAAUGUGGAAACAAUCUAAAUACUACCAAUGAUUGACAAAGUGUUAAACAAAUGUGAUAUAUCUCUACAAUGAGAUAUCAUUCAACCAUGAAAAAAAAUGAAGUUUCAAUAGGCGCUACCACAUAGAUGAUCCUUGAAAACAUUAUACUUAGUGAACAAGAUUAGUCACAAAGAUAGCUUAUCAGGGUACCAUUUAUGGGAAAUAUCCAGAAUAGACAAGUACAUGGAGACAGAAUGCAGAUUACUGAUUACCUAGAGCUGGGUGAGGGGCAGGGAUGGGCAGGGACUGCUAAUAUUUGUGAGUUUCUUUUUCAAGUGUUGAAAAUGUUCUAAAAUUAGAUUUUGGAGGUGGUAGCACAGCUUUCUGAAUUCACUAGAUCAUUGUCUACUUUAAGUGAAUCAAUAUUUUGGUAUUGAAUUAUAUUGCAAUAAAGCUAUAAAUUAAAAGAUGCAAUAAAUUUAAAAGCAUUACAUUUUCUUUAAAUUGUUUUAUAGAUCAACAUAUUUUAGGACCAAAAGGGACCUCUAGGGAUCACUUAUUUCAUUUCUCUUGAUAUGUGAGAUGAAGAAAAUAAGGACCACAGAAAUAAAUUUGUUAGAAGAUAUACAAGUAAUUUUAGAACUAAAAAUACACACUUUAUAUUCCAAUUUCCAAAAUGUAUCAAGAGUUGAUAAAUCCUGCAGAAUCCAUCUACAUAGAAAACUGUGAGAAACAGAGAUAGUAAAAUAAUUUAGGUAAUUUAAUUAAUGUAACCUAUCAAAAUAUCCAUGUGACCAGAAUAUUUUUGUGUGUAUAAGAGACAGAAAUGCUAAAACUAACAAGGAAGAAGAAUAUAGACAACUAAGGGAUUUCAGAAGCAUUUGCUUGCAUACCUUAAAGAACAUCUAUUGAAUUAAACAAAUAUGUAAAAUGUUUUUUCAAGGAAAGAGUUUUUAAUGUUUGGGCUAUAAUGUUAUAUAUGGUAUCAAAAAUUAUUCAGUAACCUAGGCAAUAUUUUAAUUCAAAGAAAGAAAAAAAUAUUUAUGCUUUUGAAGCUAAUUUCUCUAACUUUUGAUAAUUGCUUUACAUUUUUAGUUCACAUAAAAAAGGAGAAAAAAUAUCUUUGAAAAGAAAGUUUGAAUGUUUUCUAUUUGCAUAGACAGGUCGUGGGAAAAUAAAUUAGUACACACACACACAACCUCUCAAUCUCUUUGGUAUUCUUAGAUUUUUUUUAUGUGUUAUUAUUUAAGACUUCAGUGUUCUCAGAGUUUCAUAUUGAUUCAAUCUUCUAAAAUAAUUAUUGAAUUUUAAAGGAGGAAAGAGGUUUUUGAGAACUCAUGUAGCUAAAGAUUGCAAAUAAUAGGAUGUAGAUGGCAUAAUUCUCAGAGGUGAAUUAUAUUUGGCUUGUGAUGUCUUAUUUAAAAAAAAAUCUAAUCUCUAGGCUGGGGAUGUGGCUCAGGUGGUAGAGCAUCUGUCUUGCAUGUGCAAGGCCCUGGCUUCCAUCUGUAAUGUAUCAAAAAAAAAAUCUAAUCUCAAAAAAUUGGGAGAACUUACAUAAACAUUUGUGUGUUGAUGUGUGUGUGUGCAAACUGCACUGCCUGUCAAGUAAAAGUAUGGCAUAUAUAAUUAUGUACAGUACUUAAUAUUUGAUAAUGAUAAUGAACAACUGUUACUGGUUUAUAUGCUUGCUAUACUAUACUUUUUAUUGUUAUUUUAGUGUAUACUCCUACUUAUUAAAAAGUUUACUGUGAAAUAGUAUGCUAUGGUAUAAGAGCCAGCAGCAACCUCAUGUACCUUGUGUUUACCAUAUUUCUUAAUUGCAUUAAGAGACCACGUGGAGUAAUCAGCCUGUACCAUCUUGGUAUGUGUAAGGACUCUCUGUGAUGUUCCUACAAUGAUGACAUGGCCUAAUGACACAGUGCUGUUAAAUGAUGCAUGACUGUAUUUCUUAACUUUCCCCACAAGGCACUUCAUUAAUGGGGGUGUUCCUAGUGAAAGAAUUCAGAACUUAUUAUCAGUUUUCCCAUAUUCUGUUGGUGGAAAGAUUCAUACCCUUUGGUGGUUAUUAGAGAAAAUCAAGUUGAAUUCCUCCCUCAAAAAAAGAUAUUUGCCAAUCUAAAUGUAUCUUGCAUCUAUAGAUAGAAACAUUCUCAGUCUAAAUGAAAAUUGGCUCUUGGGACAAAAUGAACAAACAAACCUAAGAUAUCACAAUAGUUUGUGUUCCUCCAAAGGGCCACAGCAAAUAAACAGAUAUAUCUUUGGCAUUAAAUUGUAUGGGAGAAGGAGAGGAGCACACACACACUAUAUAUAUAUAUAUUUAUGGUAAAUAAAUUUAUUUAUUUAUUUAUUUAUUUACAGUAUUCUAAAGGGGGUGAUUAAAAAAUGGCUUGAGAAACAUUGACAUACAGGGAGGACUCAGAAAGACCAAUGCCUGGCUCGACUGCUGUUUUCCUCUCAGACCUAGCUCCUUAUGGGAAGAACCCCUAAUAAAUGUGUCAGGGAAAUAAUAACCAAGUCAGAGGAGACACUGCUUCCAACACCCAAGAGGCUAAUAAUCCAACUGCAAAAAUAAUCAUGCAUUUAUUUAUCGUAAAAGCCAUGGGGAAACAGGGACUUUUAAUAUUGGUGGCAUGGGUAUAAAUUGCUAUAGUUCAACCAUUUUUUGGAGAGCAGUUUGAUACUACAAGGUGAAUCAAACAUGUGGGUAACCUGUGAUCCUGUGAUUUCUCCAUAUGAAAAUUUUUGCCUCUGUUCACAAGGAUGCAUAAAUAGGAAUGUUCAGAACAGUACUGCUAGUAAUGUAAUGACAAAAAAAAAAAAAAAAGGAAACAAACUAUCCAUUAUCCAUUGUUUGGGAAUUAUGUAAACUGCUACUGCAAUAAAUCCACUUAGCUGGAUUCUUAAAAUAUUUCAGAUGAACUAGAAUUCCUUUUAUCAGCAAAGAUAAGUCUUUUUCCAGGGAUUAAACUCAGGGACACUUAACCACUGAGCCACAUCCCCAGACCUUUUUUGUAUUUUAUUUGGAGACAGAAUCUCACUGAGUUACUUAGUGCCUUGCUAAGUUGCUGAGGCUGGCUUUGAACUCAUGAUCCUCCUGUCUCAGCCUCCAGAGCCUCUGAGAAUUACAGUUGUACAUCAUUAACGGGUCGGAGUCGUGUCUAUUUAGAACUACGGUAAUUACAAUUUACCUUUUUUUUUUUUACUUCAAUUCACCUUUUUUCCGUGUUAUGUAUCUAAUUAUGUUUUUCCUACUACGGUAGACACAUUUGUAUUUUGUGUUUGUAUAUUUCGUAGAAUCUGUAGGGUCGAGAGGAUGUUCGCUAACUUUUCCUCCAGUGGGCUAGAUUUGUGCAUCAUAAUAGUCUCAGGGUGAAGAGAGAGGGAGAAAAUGAAAGCUUCAGGUCCUCCUAAGGCCCAGCCCUAGAAUGCUGAAUCACUUUUGCCAUGUUCUGUUGCAAAGGGGUCAGAAGCACUUCCAGAUUCAAAGAAUUAGAGAAAUGGGCACCACCCUGUAUGGGAAGAGAAGAGGGUGGGCCAUCCUGGGAUGGAGGAAUGUGUGGCCAUUCAACAACCUACUGCGUGUUUGACAUAACAGUGCAGGAAGACUCCAGAAUACAAUGUAAGUUCUCUCCUAAAUAAUCUGUAAAUUUAAAUCCAGUCCAACCCAAUAAAAAUCUCUACUGUACUUCUUGUAGAACACAAUGAUCUGAUACCCCGGAGUUCAUCAGGAAAACAAAAGUGUAUACAAAUGGCCAAAGAUUUUUUUCAAAUAGAACAAGGCAAGUUUGACCUAAAAGAUAUCCAAAUUUACUAAAGCUUAUAACUAGCACAAACAUAGUCAAAUAAAUCAACUUUAGAAAAGAAUAGAUAACCAAGGAAAAGGAUCUUGGAUGUGUUAAGUUUUGUUAAGAUCAGGGGGCAUUUCAAAUUAGUGGGGAGAAUAUUCGAAUUACAGAAUUAAUGAAUUCACAUCCUAUAUAAAAUAAAGUUAAACUUAUGUUUUGUGCCACAGACAAAGGUAUAUUCUAAUGGUACCAUAAGAAUGGUUAAAAACAUAAUGGAAAAUAUUCUUUUAAUUUAUUGUAAAGGAAAAGAUUGACACAUUUGACUACGAUCAAUUGUAACAUUCUACAGCAAAGAGCCAAAAGAUAACCUCACAGAAAAAUAUUUGUAGCAGCUGUUAAUAAGGAUUGAUAUUCAAAUAUAUUAUGAGCUUUUACAAAUCAAUAAGCAACAGGAAGAAGGAAAAAGAAUGACCAAAUAAUUUAAGCAGGUGAUCCACCCUCCAUACUUCAAACAACCAAAACAGCAUACAAAGAUGCACAAUUCCAUUAAUAAUCUCAGUUUGUAAUUUGAGAGGUUGAGGACAUUUUUUUCUUUUACCACCAGUUUGUGAAAGCUUUAAGACUGAUACUACUCAGUAAAGGUGACUAUGUAGAAAACCGUCGUUUCAUAACAGCCAUAGAGGUAUAGGUUCUUAAAAUAUUUUUAGAAGGUAACUAGGCAAUUCAUACCAAAUUUUUAAUGUUUACACUGUAAUUUCACCCUUAGCAAUCUAAGCUUUAUAGAAAAGUUUGUGCAGGCACAAAAGAUACAUAUACAUGCUCUUGGAAACACUGCCUAGAAUCAGAAAACAUCCCAAACUCUGUAUUUCUACAUUUAAGCUAAUAAGAGAUCUAUUGAUCAUCCAUUAUAUUGAAUAAUAUGAAGUUGUAAAAAAUUAAACCCUAGUGUAUUGAAAAUAUCAAAUAAAGUGCAAUCACUGACCAACAAGUGUUGAUCCCAUCUAUUGGAAAAGGGGAAAAAGCAGAAUUUAUUUAUAGGGGUGCACAAAUAGAAAAACUGCUAAAAGUGAUCAGGAGAAUGAAGUUAUAUGAUUUCCAUAUUAUACUCUAUAUACAUUUUUAUUGCUUUUAUCUUCUAGAAGGAGAAUAAAUGAAUUUAAUAUGGUAUAACAGUUUUAAUUGGGAAGAAGAGUUUAUCAUUUCAUGGAUUUUUUUGUUGAGAGAGUAACGAUGAAGGCAAGGGUUUUGGAAAUUUCUUCACAAGAGAAAAUGUUGAUGAAACUGGGCAUAUUUUGCCUGAGAGAGAAAGCAUAUUACAUUUGCUCCAGAAAACAGAGAUGUGUCCAGUGGGUAAAAAUCCAAGAGACAGAUUGAAACUUUGUUGCCCUUGGAGAUACUCAGAUAUGAAAUGGGCCCUUGUGGGAGGCAGUGUGAGCCAUCUGUCCCUGGAUGAGUGGAAUGGAGACAAGGCAGCCACUUGUUGGGUUGGUUCUGAGGCAGUGACUGUGUUGGUUGGUAGGUGAGAUGGGGCUGAAAGAAACCACUUAGACCUCAGGUUCUGGCUUUCCUAGUGUCCCAAGUGAAGGUAAACCCAGGAAUCGUUAUUAUGAGACAUCAUCUGUCAUCUUGGAUUAUGUGAAGAACUGAGUCAUCACAGAGCUUUGAGAAAAUUCUUAAAAUUUCACUCUUACACAUACAUAGAAAAAUUCUAAGUUUCGAUCCUUUGCUGUCAAAAUACAGUCCACAGACAAGAAGCAUCAGUUUAUUAGAAAUGCAGAAUCUCAGGUUUUGCUGUAGAUGUAAUAAUUGAGAAUCUGCAUUUUCACAAGGUCUACUAGUGAUUUCUGUGCAUGAAUUUGAGAAGCACUGGUCUGUCCAACUAGCCUAGGCUAACUCCUUAGUUCUGAGUCUGAGUAAGAAGAAACAAGCAACAUGGUGUGUGUGGGGGGGCAAAUAAUUAAAAAAAUAUUUUUAUUGCUUAUUACCAGAAAAAAAAUGGUAACAUGAAGAGAAAAAGUGACUAUAUAUGUAUGUUCAUGUAUGCAUGGAGUAAAUAAAUAUAUGUAUGCAUACAAGCAUUAUAAAAAUGUAUUCAUAGAAUGAACAUGUAUAUAUAUAUCUGUGUAUAUAUAAAAGUAUGUAGAUAUGAGUGUGUAUGUGUCUGUAAAACCUAGUUCUUCCCAGCUAUCAUUUAAGUGGAUGAUUAUUGACCAUUUUGCUUUUUUUUUUUUUUUGAAGAGAUUUUAGCCCAUCUCCCUCUCAAAAAAUGAAGAAUACUUUCAAUUUAAUUAAACACUGAACAGAAAAAGAUAAACAUCUUUGAGACAUUUCUCAUGCAUUUCAUUUUGACAGUUGUUAUUACUUAGGACAUUUUCAUGCCAUAUUCUAUAUUUUUAUGGUUUAUUAAAAUUCUUUCUAUUGUUUCAGUGCAUUAAUGGGUUUUUAAGGUUUAAUCCUUUAAUCUUGAUUUACUUGGCUUUUAGCAUUUUUUUUCACCUCAGAAUGAUUUGGGGUGGGGGUAGCUGCAGGGAGGUUACUUUAGCAGGCAAAUGAGUAACCUCUUCAAGUGACAAAAACUGCUAGGUAAUUGGAAAUAUUCUAAUUACCAGCUGAAACCUUAGCAAAAAUGUAUUGGCUUUUGAUUUAUUUUAUGAAGUCCAUUUCCUGAAUCAUUCAUUUCUCACUUGUGUGCAAAGACAUUUAAUGAAAAAUAAUGAAUUCUGCAGUAGAUGGAGACAUCACAGUUAAACCUUUUGCUGGAUUUUUAGAAAGUAUUGCUUUUCAUAGGCUGUUUCCUUAACAAGUUGUGUUGUUUCUCAGCAGGCUUUUCGGAGUUUAGAGCGUUGUCUACCCAACUGGCCCCAGAUGGAAAAUACGCUCUUGAAAUUGGAUGGCUUUUUAAGUGUAGCUCUCUACAGCCUGCUCGAAGAAAAAAAAUAAGCUUGAACAGAAUGCAUUUAGUAGCAUGGUCCAUAAUCCCCUGAGCAUCCCACAUAUUUGGAUGUUUUCACUUUUGGCAGUGGAAUUUUUCUAAUUUAAUUAACUCAUUAACAGAUGACACAGUGUGAAAAUUCUUUUCCCUAGUCGCUUAUCUAAAUAUUCUUCCAAUUCACUGGGGUUAUGUACACACUUUUUAUUUAUUUAUUUAUAAAAUGUAUUUAUGUAUCUGUUUUAUUUCUAUUCUGAUUUUUCCCCUGAAGUGUUUAUGGGCAAUAUAUAGACAUUUUAUGUAAUGAAUUAGAAGCCUUCCUAAAGUGAUGAAUGGAGAAGAGGCAGAAUAGAGGAUAAAUGGUGGGGAAAAUCUUUACAAAGGAAGACUGGGAGGGAAAGAACAGAUGGCGCAAGAACAGCCAGAGCUGAAAUGCUUCUCCUGGUCCAAGCCCUACCAUUCUGUCUCUUAGUUCUUAGUUCCCACACGGCAAAAAUGCAGAAGUAGUCUGUAUCAGGCCCGAAGCUGGCAACAACAGGAAUGACAGUAAGGAAAGUCUUCCAGGACUAGCCCAGCAGAAACCCAAUCUUCCUCUCAAGUCAUUCACAUUCGUUCAUUCAUUCAUGUUUUUUUUUUAAAUGUAAUUUUUUUUUUAUUUAUAUAUGACAGCAGAAUGCAUUACAAUUCUUAUUACAUAUGUAGAGCACAAUUUUUCAUAUCUCUGGUUGUAUAAAUAGUAUCUUCACACCAAUUGUGUCUUCAUAUAUUUACUAUGUUUUUAUUUUAUCUUUAAUUUUACUCAUCUAUAUAUAAAUUUCUCUCCCUCUUAGAUUUUAAGCUUCCUGAAAUAAAAAAAAAACUGGAAAUAUUGGUCGAUUAUAUUAUGCAUAUUAGUGGGAUUUGUUGUUCCAUAUUCAUAUACACACACAACAUAAUUUAGUCAGUUUAAUUUCGCAGGACCUUCCCCUAGGCUUCCUUAAAAUUUUAGAAAAAAAUCCUUCCUCUCUUCAUUUCCUUCUAUCCCUCCAUUUUCUCCCUUUUUUAUUCCCUCCCCUUCUUUUUCUCCCUUUCUUCCUUUCUGGCACAGGACAUAGGACAAAAUAAAUGUUGAAUAAAUGUUACUGAAUUUUGAAUGAAAGAUGAGUAUAGCUAUUAGUUUUUUUGAAGUAUCUUUUUUUUCUUUUCAGUGACUAUAGCUAUCUGUUUUUUCUUUUUAACUAUUUACUCUAGUAUUUUUAAAUAGGCAUAUUUUUUUUUCUGGGCGUGGUGGCACAUGCCUACAAUCCCAGACUCAGGAGUCUGAGGCAGGAGGAUCACAAGUUCAAAGCCAGCUCAGAAACUCAGCAAGACCCUGUCUCAAAAUAGAAAACCAAAAGGGCUGGGGAUGUAACUCAGUUAUAUCCUGAGUUCAAUCCCUUGUAUCAAUCAAUCAAUAAAUAGGCAUAAUUUUAGUGAUGGUUUUCUUCCAGUCUUUGGCAUUCGAAGUUUAGCAACUCUAAAUAAUGACCUCUCUCUCUUUUUCUUAAUACCUUUAUUGAUUUAUUUAUUUCUAUGUGGUGCUAAGGAUCAAACCGAGGGCCUCACACGUGCUGGGCAAGAGCUCUACCACUGAGCUACAACCCCAGCCCAUGAUGACCUCUCUUUAAGUUUUCUGUGUAUUCUUUUGAAAUCUAGAUUUGAUAUUUCUAUCUUUAGUCAACCUUAGUUUCUGAAUGAAAGGGAGAAACAAUUUAAGUAUGACUAUUAGUGAGCCUGAGAGAUGUGCAGAGGGACAAGGUGUUUAUCCAAAGUUUCUGUAGACACUUCUUUUGGGUCCAGAUUUGCAAAUUACAAAUUGUUGGGCACAGCAACUAAAGAAAGGGAGUGCUACUGCUGAUAACUGUGUGUUCUUCAGCCCUGGAGAAAUGAUAGAGAUCUAGAAAGGGGAUAUCCCUUUACCCUCUCAGCCUGAUGCUCAGUUGUCUACAGCUGGGAGAUAUUAGGGAAUCUUAAGAUAAUAGAUGCCUAACUGCCAUUAUUAGCAAUCUUGAUUUGUUUUGUCUAGGACCGGGACUAUUGAUCCCCCAGGCAACUCUAAUAUGCAACCACUACUCUUUUUUUUUCCCUUUUUAUUUUAUUUUAUUUAUUUAUUUUUUAAUUUUUUUAAAAUUUUUAUUGUUGGUUGUUCAAAACAUUACAUAGUUCUUGAUAUAUCAUAUUUCACACUUUGAUUCAAGUGGGUUAUGAACUCCCAUUUUUACCCCGUAUACAGAUUGCAGAAUCACAUCAGUUACACAUCCAUUGAUUUACAUAUUGCCAUACUAGUGUCUGUUGUAUUCUGCUGCCUUUCCUAUCCUCUACUAUCCCCCCUCCCCCCCCCCCCCCCCCCCCCCUCUCUCUCUUCCCCCCCCCNCUCUGAUUUGAUAUCAAGCUCCUUGAUCCAUUUUGAAUUCACUUUUGUGCAUGGCGAGAGAAAGGGAUUCAGUUUCAUUUUGUUGCAUAUGGAUUUCCAGUUUUCCCAGCACCAUUUGUUGAAGAUGCUAUCCUUCCUCCAUUGCAUGCUUUUAGCCCCUUUAUCAAAUAUAAGAUAGUUGUAGUUUUGUGGAUUGGUUUCUGUGUCCUCUAUUCUGUACCAUUGGUCCACCCGCCUGUUUUGGUACCAGUACCAUGCUGUUUUUGUUACUAUUGCUCUGUAGUAUAGUUUGAAGUCUGGUAUCGCUAUACCGCCUGAUUCACACUUCCUGCUUAGCAUUGUUUUUGCUAUUCUGGGUCUUUUAUUUUUCCAUAUGAAUUUCAUGAUUGCUUUCUCUAUUUCUACAAGAAAUGCCGUUGGGAUUUUGAUUGGCAUUGCAUUAAACCUAUAGAGAACUUUUGGUAAUAUCGCCAUUUUGAUGAUGUUAGUUCUGCCUAUCCAUGAACAGGGUAUAUUUUUCCAUCUUCUAAGAUCUUCUUCUAUUUCUCUCUUUAGGGUUCUGUAGUUUUCAUUGUAUAAGUCUUUCACCUCUUUUGUUAGGUUGAUUCCCAAGUAUUUUAUUUUUCUUGAGGAUAUCGUGAAUGGGGUGGUUGUCCUCAUUUCCAUUUCAGAGGAUUUGUCGCUGAUAUACAGGAAUGCCUUUGAUUUAUGCGUGUUGAUUUUAUAUCCUGCCACUUUGCUGAAUUCAUUUAUUAGCUCUAAUAGUUUCUUUGUAGACCCUUUUGGGUCUGCUAGGUAUAUAAUCAUGUCAACUGCAAAUAGUGAUAAUUUAAGUUCUUCUUUUCCUAUUUUCAUGCCUUUAAUUUCUUUCAUCUCUCUAAUUGCUCUGGCCAGUGUUUCGAGAACUAUGCAACCACUACUCUUAAAUAGCAGUUUCCAAUGCUGGCUGCUCUUGUCAUACUCCAGUGCUUUGUCCCUAGAGAUUCAAAGAUUUGGUAGAAAGCCCAAGGCAAUGGUAUCUUACAGAUGCUCCCCAGGUGAUCCUGAGGUGUAGCUGGAAUAGAGACCCACUGAGUCACUUUUUCCAGGACAGGAAGCUUACUUCCCUUUGGUGUUCCCUUGGCAUGUGCUAUGGUUUGGAUAUGGUGUGUCCCUUAUCCCUACAGGCUAAACCUUUAGAGUCCAGUGGGGGUGGGGAGAGGGGAGAAGAGGGAGAGACUGGUUAAUGGGUUCGAAGACACAGUCACAUAACAGAGAAAGAUUCUGAUGUUCUGUUACACAGAGGGUGAUUAUGGUGAUUAUUAUAGUAUUAUUUAAUUCAAAAAUAGGUAAAAGGGGAAUGUUGAAUGUUCUCUUCACAAAGAAAUAAUUACUAUUUGAAGUGAUGGCUUAAGUAAGUAUCCUUACUUGACCAAUACACAGUGUAUCAGGGUACUGAAACAUCACACCAUGCCAUAUAAAAAUGUAUAAUUAUUAACUCUGUCAAUACAUAAAUGUUACAGAUCCAUCAAUAAACAAAUAUAUUUAAUUGCUAGCAUAGUGGUAUUGAGAUGUGGUGAGGCCUUCAGGCAGUGUUUGGGUAAAGGAGCUCUGCUCUCUUGAAGGGAUGUAUAUAGUUACUGUGAGAGAGGGUUGUUAGAAGACAUUUGCUCCCCUUUUUUCUUCCUCUCUGUGCACAUGCCUCUUGUCUUCUUUUCAUCAUGAGUGAGAGCAACACUAGAUCCUUACCAGAAGCCAGGUAAAUGCAGCUUUCUGAGUUUGGACUUUUAAUCUCCAGAACCAUGAGCUAAUUAACCCUCUUUUAUUUAUGUUGCCUAAUCUAGGGUCUUCUGUUGUAGCAAUAGAAAACAGACUAAGACAGUGUGUUCUAUUCUACAGUUACUCUUUAAGUGCCUACCAUGUGGGCUGUAGUAUGCUGGGCACUAUAGGGAAUAUACCGAUUAAUUUGACACAAUCUCUGUUUUCUGAACAUUUAUGAGGGUAUUAGCUGUCUCGACCCCUUGCCCGCAAGGAAGACGCAACUCAGGAAUCUUCUUUCAGCAGUUUAUUCAGGCCCUUGAUAUUUCUUCUUCUCCCUCUCGGAUGCCCCUCCCAGCCUUAAUAAAGCAUCUCAAGCCCCAAUGCGAAGCUGCCACGUGGAGCUUUCUCAUAGGGUGGUGAAAAACCAUGCGCCAACUCUCCCAAAUAAGGAGUUGUUUGUCACAGACCACAGCGGAGCCAGCGCCAUCUUGUAAUGGCGACCAUAGUCUGCAGAAACGGCAGAAGUGGCUCACCACAAUUAGCAAUUUUAUUGAGCAUUGUUUUUUGGUUAAUGAAGCUGAGUGAAAGACAUCUUGAAUCUAGACCUGGAAGGGCUAUCAAUGAAUUGUCUUGCUGGAACCCUACAAUAACUUAGUGCACAAGGCAUAAGUAAAGUCAAGUCACAGAAGUUAGGGAUUUGCUCAAAUUUAUAGGGAAAGGAGAUCUGGGAACCCAAUGUUCUAAUGGUUGAGUCACAGUCCUUUGGCUCUACCAUUUUGGUCUGUUUCUUCUAGCACCAUUAUUAAUAUAUUAAAGCAGAGGCUGGGAGCGAGGGAAUCAGAGAGGUAAAACUGGGGUGGAGAAAACAACGCUCAGAAAGUAUGUGAGUGUGUAUCUCAGUGAAUGAGUGUCUGUGUCUGUGUGGGUGUAUCUGAGUGUGUAUAUGCAUAUCUCAGUGUGUACAUGCAUGCAUAUAUGAGUGAAUGUGUAGGUACAUGAGUUUUUGAGUGUGAGUGUAUCUGAAUGAAUAAGUGUAUGUAUGUGAGGAUGUAUUUGAGUGUGUAUCUAAGUGUAUGUGACGAGAUGUGAGGAAAUAUGCCUUUGAGACUUAGUUAAAUGUGCCGUUUGGUUAGUGUCUCCUAAAAAUUAUACAGUCUAUUUACAAAGACUAUCAGAAAAUAAAAAUUAGUGACAGUUUUAGAAAUAUUAAAAAUCUGUCUAGACUCAAAGGCUAUCACUAUCUGUGAGGAAUUUUAUUUUUUUCCAAAACAGAGGUUACUAAUAAAGGCCAGUUUAAAUUUCUUCAGAUUUCUAUAGAAAUCUAAGAACUACUUUCAUCAACUAGAGAUGUCUGGGGGGUUGGAAGGGAAGAUCAGUAUCAGUAACCAUUAGUCAAUAAGAGGAGGCUUAAUAUCCUGCUUUUCUUCAACUGCCUGACCAUUUUUCCUUCUCAUAGAGGGAAGGAGGAGCUUCCAUCCCAUCAUCCUGAAUCAGAAGAACAUUUUUUUACAACCAGAGAUGUGAGAAGACAGACACAGAAAAGAUAUGAACACCACUGUGUUAUGAAAAUUUGUAGAUUUAGGCAAGUCCUAAAGAGUAAUUUUUAGGUUUCUGGUGUUUUAAAAACAUUAUAGGAUCUUUUUGAGACUGGGUGUGUCUGUGUGUGUUUGGCUAAAGAAACAAGUAACUUCGCUAUUGCAAGUAUGUGUAGUGUUUCUUCCCUUUGGUGACUUUAUAUUACUACCCUGUUCUUCAUCUCUCACACGUACGGCUGCAAACAUUUGCCCAUUCAGUAUGCAUGCAAACAAUAAAUGCUCAUUGAAUGUGUGCCACAAUGCUCUGCAUUUGGCAUUAUAUCAUUUAAAGGAAUGCAGAAACUUGAUCUUGGACUUCCAGCUUCCAGAACAGUGACAAAAUUAAUUUUCUUCCCAACAGUGCAAGAGAUAAGAGUAUGAGAAUCAGCCUUGUGAUUUUUCCUUUGUUGAUCACUCCCCUCUUCAUAUUACCAUAUCCUGGAUGUCAUUUAUUUCUUUUAGGUAGCCUUGCUUUGAUCCAUUUGAAUAAUUUCUUUGGUCCUUCCCAAGAUUGUCCUAUGGGGUAACUAACAAGAUAGUGUAUACACCUGGGCUGGCAACUGGCCAGGACUCACUACUGUGGCCAUACUGUUUGUUACUAUGGUCAGUCCUGAUCAGAAUACACCUUUAUGAUUUGUCAUGCCCAUGCAAUGUGGUUGCUAAAUAAUGUGAAUACUAUUUCUAUCUAUAUUACAUGAAGUAUGAAGAGAAAUUGAUCACAUCAAGCAGUUAAGCCAGCUUUCUCUAUAGGCAGACUUGGCUAUUUGAGAACUGUCAAAAGAAUCCCCAUUUCCGAAGUGACAGCCCCAUUAGCCUCUGACAGAACUAAAAUCCAGAAGCUAGAGUCUCUCCUAAUGAAUUUGAUUAUAUUUACCAGAAAAGAUCAUCAACAUAUUUAAUAUUUAAACGUCACCUAUAUAUCACUAGAUAGCAAAACUCUUAAAUGGAAUGUCCAUUUAUCAUCACAACAAUCCUACUAUGAAGAAGGUGAAUCAACUGAGGAUUAAAUAUGUUAAAUAAUCUGUUUAAUGUUAUCAUCUAUUUAAGAAUAAAGAGAUUCAAACCCUAAGAUUAACCUUUAUGCUGAGAACAGGAGCCUGUGGCUGUGGUCUACAGUUUAGCACUGUUCUCACACAUUCUCCUCCUAGCUUUCUUCAUUCCUAAGAAAGUGACCCUGUUUCCAGGGCAUGCUCUUUUCCAUCUCCUUUUCCUGGUCCCUCUACCUGGGAUAAAACUUACCCAUCUCUUCCAUGGCUGGCUCCUAUCCUAACUCUCUACCCCAAAAGUUUCCAAGCCCAUGUUCUUGACACUUGCUAUACCACCUGAUGGGGGUCAUGUCUUUCCUAUGGGUACAUCACAGUACUGUGAAAAGGAUCCCCACUUCCCCAAACAACACCCUCACCAGCCUGUGAUGAAGCAUAAAAUUCAGCAGCUGGAGUUUCUUACAAAUAAGCAGUGUUGUCACACAUUCUCUUCCCACCUUUUUCAUGCCUAAGAAACUGAUCUUCUCUUGUUUGUUUGCUUAUUUAUUUUCUGAAUGCUAAUAGUAGGAUGUAAGUUCCAUGACGACAGGACCCUAGUCUUUCUUACACAUGGCUGUGUCACCAAUAUCCAGGGACAGUGCAUUCCAUAUAGUAGGUACUCUCUACAUAUGUGCCAAAUGCCAAAGGGUUUGUGAUCUAUCAAACCCCUUUGCUCUUCAGAAUUAAGACUUGAGAGGGCAUGUUCUUGACAGAAUGGGAAAUAUGGCAGCCCAUUCAUCUGACUGGACUCAUCAUUACAUCCUCAAGAGAAAGAAUUUUUGGAGAUAACAGAGAAUAUAGGCACCAAGGCAAAAAGGGAGGCUGCCCUAUAAAGUAGGGGAGUCUCCAAAACAAAUUUUUGUUGACUAGUAGUUUUGACUAUAGUAAUAGUACAGAACCUCUUUUUCCUGAAAAACAAUGCUUGGGCUUUGUUUGCUUAUUUCCAACUACUAGCUGCUGCCAACAACAAUAUAUUAAGAACUUAAUGUAUUUAAAGAACUAUCCUAGGUGACUAAGAUGAUUAAUAAGACAAAAAAAAAAUCCCUAAGGACUCCUAUGAAAAUUGGGAGAGAAAGGGAAUCAUUACCAAAUGGAUUUGUCCUGGGGGGAGAUGGGACCUGAGCCAGGCCCCGGAGUAUGGAGAGGAUUAGGGGAGACUUAGGUGAGAAUUUUGAUCAAAAGCAUGCUCUCAGGAAUGUUACGAGUGUGUCUGGGGACUGUAAAGGACUAGUUGGCAGGGAGUAGACCUUGAAAAUGAUGUUGAAAUUUUUGAAUUUUCUCCCGAGUUCUGAAAGGACUCCUAGGAGUUUCUGAAUGGGCUGGUAAGGUUGUGAAAUUAGUAUUCCUGAAAGGGAGAGCUGCAAGAUGAGGAUGGAGGAGGGAGCAAGCUAGAAAGGGGGACCAUCAGCUUCCUGCAAGGGACUGUACUUUGUGCAUACACUGUCAUGGGCACACUCAUCAUAUCCCUCUUUCUCUGGGUGUGGCUGUUUGACCUUGUCAGGCUUGGAGCCAUUGAGAGUGGUAGAACAUAUUUCUUUUUGGUUUUAUACAAACUGAUUAAUUCAGUAUUUUGUUAAAUGCUUCUGUGUCAGUAGUACCAUGACUUUAUGAGAAUUAUGAACAAUUUCUGUAUCUCCAAGUGUUUUCUGAAUCAUCAGGACUCUUUUUUAUUUUUUGUUUUAUAUCAGUUCAUGCUCACUGUUUAUAAAUGUCAUCUGUGGGUAAUUGUAAAUGAAAACUAUAAAAUAUUACCAUUCAGUCAUUUCACAGGUAUUAUUUGAUUCCUGUAAUUGUGUUUUAGCAGUUCAGAAAAACACAUUUCAGAGAGGCUAAAUGACUUAUCCAUGGUCACUUAGCUAAAGGCUAAGAAAUUCUCAUUUUAAACCCAUUUCUUUUAUUGCAAAUUUUUUACAUCACAGUGAAAAUUGGAAGCUAGCACUUAAUAUACAGGGCAGAUGUUUAUUAAGCAGAAUACUUCAUCAUUCUAGAGCAAGCAAUCUCAGUGGAGUGCAGAGAUGAACUACAUGUUACAGUGCAGUGGUUGUUUCAUAAAUACUCAUAGACAAUAAUGACAUCAUCCACCAUUCAUUCUGAAUCAAUCUGUCCCAAAAGGAAUGUAUCUUAUAAUGUUCCUCAAAUAUUUUUAAAUGACAUAUUUUUAAAUUAAAUAUUGACAAUAAUGUUCACAUUUCAAUCCUCCUUGGGCCUUGGGCUCAAUAAUUCUUGGUUAUGGAGUGUGGUUUUGUCAGUUUGAUCUCAUGGAAUUUGCAGACAGCAUCUAUGUGCAUAGUAACAGAACAAUUCUGGCUGAUAGAGAGAGAACGGGUGUGGAGCAAGUGUGGCAUGAAACGGACUGUUUGCUUUUUUCCACAGUCUGCUGAUUCGACCUGCAAACCCAUUCCCCAACUCCAUUAGCAAAACCUGUAAAAACACAGGGGCCUCCAAAAAGACAACUCCAACAUUUGUAACCCAGAGAGAUGUUUUGAGUUGAGAGAUCUCAGUUCUAUAUUUAUUUCUUGGGCCUGGGUAUUUUUUUGGCUUCAACACUUGUUUCUGGUUGGAAAGCUGAAAAACAAGGAUCUAAACACUGAGCGCUUGGAUAGUAAAACACAUGUUCCCUUUUCGCAGUGACCCUGGAAACAGACGGGGGAUUCUUAUAAAUCACAAAGGAAAAUAAAUAACCUGACCCAUGGAGGGAAAGAGACAACUUGAAAAAAGGGACUUUGGAA
RNAcentral lists this long non-coding RNA (37166 nucleotides) under Marmota monax (woodchuck). Lineage: Eukaryota; Metazoa; Chordata; Mammalia; Rodentia; Sciuridae. The record is from RNAcentral.